UACAGAGGGGGCAAGCGUUGUCCGGAAUCAUUGGGCGUAAAGAGCGUGUAGGCGGCCCGGUAAGUCCGCUGUGAAAGUCCAGGGCUCAACCCUGGGAUGCCGGUGGAUACUGUCGGGCUCGAGUCCGGAAGAGGAGUGUGGAAUUCCUGGUGUAGCGGUGAAAUGCGCAGAUAUCGGGAGGAACACCGGUGGCGAAGGCGGUUCUCUGGGCCUUACCUGACGCUGAGGAGCGAAAGCGUGGGGAGCGAACAGG
This 253-nucleotide ribosomal RNA is filed under the name uncultured bacterium. Its description in RNAcentral is "partial 16S ribosomal RNA". It matches the Rfam family "Bacterial small subunit ribosomal RNA", at positions 524 to 776 of the family's 1533-position model. The record is from RNAcentral.